GACGAACGCUGGCGGCGUGCUUAACACAUGCAAGUCGAACGGAAAGGCCCCGCUUUUGUGGGGUGCUCGAGUGGCGAACGGGUGAGUAACACGUGAGUAACCUGCCCUUGACUUUGGGAUAACUUCAGGAAACUGGGGCUAAUACCGGAUAGGAGCUCCUGCUGCAUGGUGGGGGUUGGAAAGUUUCGGCGGUUGGGGAUGGACUCGCGGCUUAUCAGCUUGUUGGUGAGGUAGUGGCUUACCAAGGCUUUGACGGGUAGCCGGCCUGAGAGGGUGACCGGCCACAUUGGGACUGAGAUACGGCCCAGACUCCUACGGGAGGCAGCAGUGGGGAAUAUUGCACAAUGGGCGGAAGCCUGAUGCAGCAACGCCGCGUGCGGGAUGACGGCCUUCGGGUUGUAAACCGCUUUCGCCUGUGACGAAGCGUGAGUGACGGUAAUGGGUAAAGAAGCACCGGCUAACUACGUG
This 468-nucleotide ribosomal RNA is filed under the name uncultured bacterium. RNAcentral describes it as "partial 16S ribosomal RNA". It matches the Rfam family "Bacterial small subunit ribosomal RNA", at positions 28 to 507 of the family's 1533-position model. The record is from RNAcentral.